UACGGAGGGGGCGAGCGUUAUUCGGAAUUAUUGGGCGUAAAGGGCGCGUAGGCGGCUUGAUAAGUCAAAGGUGAAAUCCCUCGGCUCAACUGAGGAACUGCCUUUGAAACUGUCUGGCUUGAGGCCGGGAGGGGGUAGCGGAAUUCCCAGUGUAGCGGUGAAAUGCGUAGAUAUUGGGAAGAACACCGGAGGCGAAGGCGGGUUGCUGGGCCGACACUGACGCUGAGGCGCGAAAGCCAGGGGAGCAAACGGG
Molecule: ribosomal RNA, 253 nt
Filed under: uncultured bacterium
Lineage: Bacteria
Description: partial 16S ribosomal RNA
Rfam family: Bacterial small subunit ribosomal RNA
Source: RNAcentral